Long non-coding RNA from Papaver somniferum (opium poppy), 589 nucleotides. RefSeq lists it as uncharacterized. The transcript is spliced from 2 exons. The record is from RefSeq and is a predicted model, not a curated record. Lineage: Eukaryota; Viridiplantae; Streptophyta; Magnoliopsida; Ranunculales; Papaveraceae.
AAGAAAAAAAAAAUCAAAAAGUGCACAACAAAAGAAAAAAAAUGGAAAUAUAACUACCCAAAAUAUUUUGUUUCCAUAAAUUUGUUUGAAAAUUUCUUAUACAUAGAGUACCCUAGAACUUCCGAUCUUCUUCUUCUCCUUCUUCUUGUUUUUCUCUGUUUUUACUUCUUUCAAUCUCCUCCUUCUUUCUUUUUCUCUUUUAACUUCUUUUAAACCGAUCGGGAUAUCAUCAAAAUUCGCCGCCUCCACCACCAAAUCCCGUUUAACCACUCUCAUAAAAUCAAAAUACAUAUCACGGUUGUAGAGAUCAUUUAAAAGGUAAAGAAGACAAACUAAUCCUUCAAGUGAAAUAGAAGAAUAUAUUUGAGUCUCACCAUCCAAGAAUGGAUCAAUUCAAGUCCCAGAGAAACAACUAUGAGGAUGUAAUGUCAAAGAUAAGACUCUUCACUGUUGAGAGAAAACAAUUUAGUGAUGGAUUUGUAGAAAAAAUUGAUUAAAUUGUAUGGUUAUAUACUUUUUUUUUCUUUUCUUUUUGUUAAGAAUAUUGUAAGUUACAUUUUGCAGGAAAUUAUAAUAUCAUUUCUACUCA